GACGAACGCUGGCGGCGUGCUUAACACAUGCAAGUCGAACGGAAAGGCCCUGCUUUUGUGGGGUGCUCGAGUGGCGAACGGGUGAGUAACACGUGAGUAACCUGCCCUUGACUUUGGGAUAACUUCAGGAAACUGGGGCAAAUACCGGAUAGGAGCUCCCGCUGCAUGGUGGGGGUUGGAAAGUUUCGGCGGUUUGGGAUGGACUCGCGGCUUAUCAGCUUGUUGGUGGGGUAGUGGCUUACCAAGGCUUUGACGGGUAGCCGGCCUGAGAGGGUGACCGGCCACAUUGGGCCUGAGGUACGGCCCAGACUCCUACGGGAGGCAGCAGUGGGGAAUAUUGCACAAUGGGCGGAAGCCUGAUGCAGCAACGCCGCGUGCGGGAUGACGGCCUUCGGGUUGUAAACCGCUUUCGCCUGUGACGAAGCGUGAGUGACGGUAAUGGGUAAAGAAGCACCGGCUAACUACGUG
Molecule: ribosomal RNA, 468 nt
Filed under: uncultured bacterium
Lineage: Bacteria
Description: partial 16S ribosomal RNA
Rfam family: Bacterial small subunit ribosomal RNA
Source: RNAcentral